GACGUAGGAGGCGAGCGUUGUCCGGAUUCAUUGGGCGUAAAGAGCGCGCAGGCGGCUUGGUAAGUCGGAUGUGAAAUCCCGAGGCUCAACCUCGGGUCUGCAUCCGAUACUGCCCGGCUAGAGUCCGGCAGGGGAGACUGGAAUUCCUGGUGUAGCGGUGAAAUGCGCAGAUAUCAGGAGGAACACCGGUAGCGAAGGCGGGUCUCUGGGCCGGAACUGACGCUAAGGAGCGAAAGCGUGGGGAGCGAACAGG
RNAcentral lists this ribosomal RNA (253 nucleotides) under uncultured bacterium. RNAcentral describes it as "partial 16S ribosomal RNA". It matches the Rfam family "Bacterial small subunit ribosomal RNA", at positions 524 to 776 of the family's 1533-position model. The record is from RNAcentral.